UACGGGGGGUGCAAGCGUUAUUCGGAAUUAUUGGGCGUAAAGAGCGCGUAGGCGGUUUUUUAAGUCAGAUGUGAAAGCCCGGGGCUCAACCUCGGAAGUGCAUUUGAUACUAUGAAACUUGAGUAUGGGAGAGGGAAGUGGAAUUCCUGGUGUAGAGGUGAAAUUCGUAGAUAUCAGGAGGAACACCGGUGGCGAAGGCGACUUCCUGGACCAAUACUGACGCUGAGGCGCGAAGGCGUGGGGAGCAAACAGGAGUAGAUACCCUGGUCGUCCACGCAGUAAACGUUGAGCACUAGGUGUAGCGGGUAUUGACCCCUGCUGUGCCGCAGUUAACGCAUUAAGUGUUCCGCCUGGGAAGUACGGUCGCAAGAUUAAA
RNAcentral lists this ribosomal RNA (376 nucleotides) under uncultured bacterium. Its description in RNAcentral is "bacterial SSU rRNA". It matches the Rfam family "Bacterial small subunit ribosomal RNA", at positions 524 to 898 of the family's 1533-position model. The record is from RNAcentral.